This 292-nucleotide unclassified non-coding RNA is filed under the name uncultured fungus. Its description in RNAcentral is "sequence contains ITS1". The record is from RNAcentral. Lineage: Eukaryota; Fungi.
GGACUACUGGGGUUUCUAAUCCUGUUCGCUCCCCACGCUUUCGCUCCUCAGUGUCAGUAAUGGCCCAGAGUCCUGCCUUCGCCAUUGGUGUUCCUCCUGAUAUCUGCGCAUUCCACCGCUACACCAGGAAUUCCAGACUCCCCUACCAUACUCAAGCUCGCCCGUAUCGAAUGCAGGUCUGGGGUUAAGCCCCAGAUUUUCACAUCCGACGUGACGAACCACCUACGAGCUCUUUACGCCCAAUAAUUCCGGACAACGCUUGCACCCUAUGUAUUACCGCGGCGGCUGGCAC